Molecule: transfer RNA, 83 nt
Filed under: Phlebiopsis gigantea 11061_1 CR5-6
Lineage: Eukaryota; Fungi; Basidiomycota; Agaricomycetes; Polyporales; Phanerochaetaceae
Rfam family: tRNA
About the family: Transfer RNA (tRNA) molecules are approximately 80 nucleotides in length.
Source: Rfam by way of RNAcentral
GGGCACUUGGCGCAGUGGUAGCGCGCCCGCUUUGCACCGUGCGUGAUUGCGGAAGGCCGUGGGUUCAAUCCCCACAGUGUCCA